UUAAAAGGGAAAUGGAUUUUCACAAGUACCAAUUCAACAUAGUGAGAAGCAUCACUUAUUGUGAAAAAUUCAAUGUUUACUUUGUACUGAGACGAGACUAUGCACUUAAGGUGUAUAAUAAGGAUUAUGAAGAGAUCUGCUCAGUAGAGAAUGUGGAGACACGUCUGUUGACACUUAUGGUAUUCAAUCCUGUGAGUGAUGAACUCAUUACAGGAGGAAUCAAAGGCGUAAAGUUCUGGAAGUUUAAAGAAACAGAGAAUACAGAUUACACUGAUGCAGUUCACAUGUCCAAUUACAAGCUUUUCCCCAGUGCAGAAUUCCCACACAUGAGGCAAAUCUGGUGUACAAAUAUGGAGUUUGAUGUCAAUAUGCAAAGACUUUAUUGCUUUUCUAAUUGCGAUCUCUUCUGCUAUGAUACCAAAGGGAAUAUACUGUUUCAGCUAACCAGUGCCCACCAAAGUACCAUUCUCUCCUGCGUCUAUUCAUCAUACUCCAAUGCUUUGCUUACCUCCUCCAGGGACUCUGAAAUAAAAUCUUGGAAUGACCAGGGCUGUUUGUUGCAUGUGUUUCAUGGCCAUACCAGGUCUGUCACACACAUCCUCCUCCACCCAAACACUUUGUCUUUAUUUAUCUCUGGAUCUUUGGAUGGGACAGUGAAACUCUGGUCCCUGGAUACAAUGGAGCUGUUUUACAGUUUAUCAUUGUUCACUGAAGGAAUUGUUUGGAUGGGCCUGACUGAGGAUAAGUUGCUGUACUGCUCUUCUGCCCGCAAUCUUCAUGUGUAUGACUUGAACAAUUUUACCAAAUUCUGGACUCGUGUCAGCAGUCAGAUUAAGGCUCUGUCCCUCUGUGGUGCCAAUGGGAAAUCCAGCAGGGUGAUAGCUAUGGGCUCUGAUAACAGUUUACGAAUUUUCUCUCUGCAUAAUGGGACAAAGUUAUGUACCGUGCUGCCGCCUCCCUAUCCCUCUCCACUCCAGUCAGUUCUCGGCUUUGCCUAUAAUCGAACCAGUGGAACAAUUUACUUCCUCCUGACUUCUUGGGAUAUAUGGGUCUACACAGCAAGAACUGAUCCUGCAUGUAGGGCAGCAGUGUGGACUAUUGAAGAAAUACACCAGCACUUAAACAGAAAACACCCCUUAGCCUCUUGUGUAGAGAAGAAUGAAUAUUUUCAGCAUACUCGAAAGGAGAGUGUAAGAGAUCCAGUGAGAUGCAAAUGUCUCUGCAGCCUGUCCUCCCCAAUAUGCUACUGGAUAGAUGAAGGGCUGGUGUAUGCAGAUACCCAGGAAUUUCUGGUUCUUGGUAUGCAGGAUGGAAGAAUCCUGUUUCUGCACACCUCAAUACAAAAUCUAGUAUAUUAUGAGAUGAAGGCCUAUAAAGAUCCUGUAAUUGAAUUAAAACAUGAUAUAGAUCACCAUCAACUGAUAAAUAUGUGCCAGGAAUUGGAAUACAAAUUGGUGCAGAUCUGGAGUUUACCUGCCCUGCAGUUGCUUCACCAGAUCAAUAUCUCGAAUGAAACCAUGGUUUUCACCAGGAUUAACAGUUCACUGUUCCUUGGCCUGCAUUCUGGAGCUGUAAAUGUCUUUGAUGUUCAUAUUGAAGAAGGCCCAGUGGAGCUGUUGGAGAAAAAUGAGAAAAAGCCAGGGGGAAAUGAAGAACCAGAUAUCACUCAUGAUUCUGAAAAUGCUCACAAGGGCCCUGUGGUAGCAGUGGAUGCCUGCAAGACCCUCUCGCUCUUUCUAAGCUGUGGUGCGGACUACAUGGUGAAACUCUGGGAUAUUCACAAGAAUUUGCUGGCCGAAAUUUGUCUUGAUAACACUCUCAGCUCUGCUUGUUUCCUGAAUGGUUCUGGAGAUAUUUUAGUGGCUUUCAAAAAUGAUCUUUACAUCUUGCCUCACAGUAAGGCACUGGGUAUCACAGCGACAGAUACAGAUGUCUCUGGAAUCUCAGCAACAGAGUCCUUCAUUUAUGAAAACCAAGCUUUAAAUUACCAAAAGGAAGGAAAAACUGAUGUCUCCAAAGUCACUGACAUGGACUCUUAUCUGGUGCCUUACAUGGGAUUUAAUUUCACCAGUGACUUCACAACAGAAUUGCUGGUUUCACCAAUGGACGGAGAAAAGCUGUCCUGGAAGUUGCCGCUGGCCCCUUCCCGGAUAUAUUGUUCUCCCAGUAUCUCAGCGACUUCAUUGAAGAUAUUUGACUUCCUGUUUCAACCUGGACCUCUCAGCAUAGAUGAGCGAGAGAAGGCGGAACGUAAAGGAUUCUUUCUACAAUUCUACCUUUUGUUUACUUCUGUUUAUUCAAUAACUAAAGUAAAUCUGGUAGCAUCCUAAACCUUGAACCAGAUCCUCGGCUGGUAUAAAUUGAUGUAGCUCUGUUGACUUCAGUGGAGCUAAGCUGAUUUAUACCAGCUGAGGAUCUGGCCCUAUAGGUCAGAUUUUCACAAUUCCCUGCACACAAGGGUUCUGCUGUACACCCAAAACUCCAGUUGAAGUCAAAGGGAGCUGC
Long non-coding RNA from Chrysemys picta bellii (western painted turtle), 2505 nucleotides. NCBI's taxonomy places the organism in Eukaryota, Metazoa, Chordata, Testudines, Emydidae. The record is from Ensembl.